RNAcentral lists this ribosomal RNA (279 nucleotides) under uncultured bacterium. RNAcentral describes it as "partial 16S ribosomal RNA". It matches the Rfam family "Bacterial small subunit ribosomal RNA", at positions 506 to 784 of the family's 1533-position model. The record is from RNAcentral.
UGCCAGCAGCCGCGGUAAUACGAAGGGGGCUAGCGUUGUUCGGAAUUACUGGGCGUAAAGCGCACGUAGGCUGACUGGUCAGUUGGGGGUGAAAUCCCGGGGCUCAACCUCGGAACUGCCUUCAAUACUGCCAGUCUUGAGUCCGAGAGAGGUGAGUGGAAUUCCUAGUGUAGAGGUGAAAUUCGUAGAUAUUAGGAAGAACACCAGUGGCGAAGGCGGCUCACUGGCUCGGUACUGACGCUGAGGUGCGAAAGCGUGGGGAGCAAACAGGAUUAGAUA